GAUGAACGCUGGCGGCGUGCCUAAUACAUGCAAGUCGAGCGAACGGACGAGAAGUUUGCCUCUCUGAUGUUAGCGGCGGACGGGUGAGGAACAGGUGGAUAACCGACCUAUAAGACUGGGAUAACUUCGGGAAACCGUAGCUAAUACCGGAUAAUAUUUUGAACCGCAGGGUUCAAAAGUGAAAGACGGUCUUGCUGUCACUAAUAGAGGGAUCCGCGCUGCAUUAGCUAGUUGGUAAGGUAACGGCUUACCAAGGCAACGAUGCAUAGCCGACCUGAGAGGGUGAUCGGCCACACUGGAACUGAGACACGGUCCAGACUCCUACGGGAGGCAGCAGUAGGGAAUCUUCCGCAAUGGGCGAAAGCCUGACGGAGCAACGCCGCGUGAGUGAUGAAGGUCUUCGGAUCGUAAAACUCUGUUAUUAGGGAAGAACAUAUGUGUAAGUAACUGUGCACAUCUUGACGGUACCUAAUCAGAAAGCCACGGCUAACUACGUG
Molecule: ribosomal RNA, 497 nt
Filed under: uncultured bacterium
Lineage: Bacteria
Description: partial 16S ribosomal RNA
Rfam family: Bacterial small subunit ribosomal RNA
Source: RNAcentral